CACCCCAUUUUCCUCUGUUUACUUUCAGAAACGGUCAUUUGGAAAAACGGUUUAUAACUUGAUGUGUCUGCCCAUCCCUCCCUUAGUCGGGACCUGUUUAUUGAGUGUCAGAAAGAAUUGCACCAGGGGAAGUAGGCCGCGGCUGCAGUGGGAGGGCUGGGUUUCUAGCUGGAGGGGAGGUUCUCAGUCACUUGUAUAGCAAGGCACAGAAACAAAGCCAUAGCACUAAUUCUUCAAAGUGGACUCUGGGUAAACUGUAAAAUUUAUACACUUUUUUUUACUGCUCCCUUUCAGGUAGGCACCUCAAAGAAAACCUCAUAGAGAUUCUUUCUUAAUGGAAAUGCAUAGGCCAUCCGCUAGUCUACCAUGCUAUCCCAUAGAAUUUUCCUGGAACUAUUAUUUAUUUCCAAAGAUAAGACACAGCAAAUUUAAUUAUUCUGAAUCAUUAUGAGGCACUGGUGAUCAUGUUCAACAUAAUUAGCAAAAACCUCUAUUAGGCUAGAUCACAACUAUGGAAUAUAUAAGGGUGGAGAUGCUGGCCUCCUGUGGUUCAAUACUACUAUAGAGAACAAACA
Ceratotherium simum simum (southern white rhinoceros) is the source of this 575-nucleotide non-coding RNA. Lineage: Eukaryota; Metazoa; Chordata; Mammalia; Perissodactyla; Rhinocerotidae. The record is from RefSeq and is a predicted model, not a curated record.